AUGAACGCUGCGGCAUGCCUAACACAUGCAAGUCGAUCGGUAAGGCUCUUCGGAGUACACGAGAGGCGGACGGCUGAGUAACGCGUAGGAACACACCCUGCAGUGAGGGAUAAGACACCGAAAGGUGUUCUAAUACCGCAUACGGUCUUCGGAUUAAAGCAUUUAUGCGCUGAAGGAGUGGCCUGCGUCAUAUUAGAUAGUUGGUGAGGUAAUGGCUCACCAAGUCGAUGAUGUGUAGCUGGUCUGAGAGGAUGAUCAGCCAGACUGGAACUGAGACACGGUCCAGACUCCUACGGGAGGCAGCAGUGAGGAAUAUUUCACAAUGAGCGAAAGCUUGAUGGAGCAAUGCCGCGUGCAGGAUGAAGGCCUCGGGUUGUAAACUGCUUUUAUAAGAGAAGAUUAUGACGGUAACUUAUGAAUAAGGACGGCUAAAAAA
RNAcentral lists this ribosomal RNA (436 nucleotides) under TM7 phylum sp. oral taxon 437. RNAcentral describes it as "bacterial SSU rRNA". It matches the Rfam family "Bacterial small subunit ribosomal RNA", at positions 29 to 504 of the family's 1533-position model. The record is from RNAcentral. Lineage: Bacteria; Candidatus Saccharimonadota.